RNAcentral lists this long non-coding RNA (241 nucleotides) under Elaeis guineensis (African oil palm). Its description in RNAcentral is "long non-coding RNA (EGUI_LNC045506)". The record is from RNAcentral. Lineage: Eukaryota; Viridiplantae; Streptophyta; Magnoliopsida; Arecales; Arecaceae.
UCUUCUAACGACUAUGACUUCCACACUAUCCAACCCCUCUCCCAGAGCAUCCUAGACAAGUCAAUUCCAUCUUGAUUCAAAAUACUGCAGAUGGAGCUAUAUGACGGCUCCAUCGAUUCAAUUGAUCAUUUGAAAAGUUAUAAGGCUCUCAUGAUGAUUCAGGGGGCAACCGACACCCUCUUAUGUAUUGACUUUUCGAUAAUUAUUCGGAAGGCUACUCGAGCCUGAUAUUCUUGGCUUC